UUCGCCCUUAGAGUUUGAUCCUGGCUCAGAUUGAACGCUGGCGGCAUGCCUUACACAUGCAAGUCGAACGGCAGCACGGGGGCAACCCUGGUGGCGAGUGGCGAACGGGUGAGUAACAUAUCGGAACGUGCCCUGGAGUGGGGGAUAACUAGUCGAAAGACUAGCUAAUACCGCAUACGAUCUAUGGAUGAAAGUGGGGGAUCGCAAGACCUCAUGCUCGUGGAGCGACCGAUAUCUGAUUAGCUAGUUGGUGGGGUAAAGGCCUACCAAGGCAUCGAUCAGUAGCUGGUCUGAGAGGACGACCAGCCACACUGGGACUGAGACACGGCCCAGACUCCUACGGGAGGCAGCAGUGGGGAAUUUUGGACAAUGGGCGCAAGCCUGAUCCAGCAAUGCCGCGUGAGUGAAGAAGGCCUUCGGGUUGUAAAGCUCUUUUGUCAGGGAAGAAACGGGCCGGGUUAAUACCCUGGUCUAAUGACGGUACCUGAAGAAUAAGCACCGGCUAACUACGUGCCAGCAGCCGCGGUAAUACGUAGGGUGCAAGCGUUAAUCGGAAUUACUGGGCGUAAAGCGUGCGCAGGCGGUUGUGCAAGACCGAUA
This 600-nucleotide ribosomal RNA is filed under the name bacterium enrichment culture clone F61x_D51_T3_C07. RNAcentral's name for it is "bacterial SSU rRNA". It matches the Rfam family "Bacterial small subunit ribosomal RNA", at positions 1 to 594 of the family's 1533-position model. The record is from RNAcentral.